RNAcentral lists this ribosomal RNA (302 nucleotides) under Oryctolagus cuniculus (rabbit). RNAcentral describes it as "partial 18S ribosomal RNA". It matches the Rfam family "Eukaryotic small subunit ribosomal RNA", at positions 1534 to 1831 of the family's 1831-position model. The record is from RNAcentral. Lineage: Eukaryota; Metazoa; Chordata; Mammalia; Lagomorpha; Leporidae.
CGGCAGGCCGGCAACCCGUUGAACCCCAUUCGUGAUAGGGAUCGGGGAUUGCAAUUAUUUCCCAUGUACGAGGAAUUCCCAGUAAGUGCGGGUCAUAAGCUUGCGUUGAUUAAGUCCCUGCCCUUUGUACACACCGNCCGUCGCUACUACCGAUUGGAUGGUUUAGUGGGCCCUCGGAUCGGCCCGCCGGGGUCGGCCCACGGCCCUGGCGGAGCGCUGAGAAGACGGUCGAACUNGACUAUCUAGAGGAAGUAAAAGUCGUAAGAAGGUUUCCGUAGGUGAAUCCUGCGGAAGGAUCAUUA